GCCCAGCUAGUUUAGUGGUAGAAUACGUGCUUCCCAAGCACGAGGUUCGGGUUCGAUUCCCGGGCUGGGCA
This is a non-coding RNA of Peziza echinospora, 71 nucleotides long. Lineage: Eukaryota; Fungi; Ascomycota; Pezizomycetes; Pezizales; Pezizaceae. The record is from the annotation of a GenBank genome assembly.